Homo sapiens (human) is the source of this 1689-nucleotide long non-coding RNA. Ensembl annotates it as HLA complex P5. Its record names the gene HCP5. Lineage: Eukaryota; Metazoa; Chordata; Mammalia; Primates; Hominidae. The record is from Ensembl.
GUCCCGAACCCUCCUCCUGCUGUUCUCGGGAGCCGUGGCCCUGAUCCAGACCUGGGCAGAUUACAAUUACAAUCAAGGCAGAAAUGAUCUCAUUUUUACAUUACAACUCUGGAAAAGGCAAUAGACUGAGAUGCAAGUGUGCCCCCAAGUGAUGGGCAGAAGGAGAGAAGGUGUUUUGGAUGCAUUCUAGAACACAGGGUACCCUCCUUUAGAAUCCAGGACCUUCUACCCUGCAGAGUGUGGUUUUGGGAGAGAAGUGCAAAAUCCCACGACAGAGUGCUUCCUGCAAGCUGGCGUUGAGCUGUGCCUAUAGAAGCUCUUUUCAACAUUCUUUAUGGCCAGCAGCCCUUGGUUGGUGCAGAUGGUGAUAGGACCAGUGGGUCCCACAGCAUGGCCACACUGCACCUCCUUCGCUGUCAAGUGGGUCCCCCACGAAGAUACUGCACGGAGAGCAGUGCCAAGCCUGUGGAUCAGGAAUAUCAACAGCCCCCAGAGAGUGGUGCUGGCUGAGGGUCUGAGAGCAGGACAGGAAAACCCACCUAUGGAAUAGGUGCCUAUCCCUGUGAAGAUGAACCUCUGGCCCUUCCAGGAUGGAAGGAGUGCAAUGUAGUCAACUCCUCACUUAGGGUCUGGUUGGUCACCUAAAGAAAUAGAGCCCUACCAGGGAAGAUCAUUGGGUUCAAAUGCUGAUGAGUAGGACAUUUAGAGGUGGCAGUGUCUGGAUCUACCUUGGUAGGAGGGAGUCAGUACUGUUGGACCCAUAGGUAGCCUCAUCCCUGCCACUGUGUUUGCUCCAUUUAUGUACCCAUCCUACCCGGCCUGGGCUGACCCAUGGGGAAGGCUGGCUAAUUUCAGUGCUUCUGCUUGGUUGUUCAGGGCCAUUUCAGGUUUGGGUGUUUUCUGGGGAUGUUAACAUGGGAUUCAGGCUCAACUCACAAGAAACUUUUCCAUCUCAUGAUGGAUGCUGUUGGGCAUGUCCAAUGUAUGACUUCAUGAGUUACACAGAUGCUAAUUCGUAGGGGCACUUGGAAUCACAUGGUUGUUUUGUGUCCCAUGGUCAAGCAUUCUAUCUUAUCAGGGCCUACAGUAACAUGCCAAAAGUUGCUUCCAACAUAUUUCUCUGCUUUGGAUGGGGCAUAUUUCUGUGCUGUGGAUGACAUGGCCUUACUCCAGAAUCCCAGGCCCUCCACUGUGACUCUCCUACUGGUGCUUGGUUCAGCUCCACCCCAAAUCUUACCCCACCACUGGCACUUUCAGCACCAGGGGGUCUGAAGGAUGGUGACUGCGCCAUGGCCUGGAUCUGCUGCAGUGUCCUUUCCUGUGGAGGCUCCACUCAAAGCUGGCAUCCUCCUAUGUCACCUAGAGUGUGGGUCAAAGCAAUACACCUACAUGUAGAAUGUGAUGUCAGAACUCAAACAGGCUCACCAGGCAGUGUGCUUCCUUCCUUGCAUGAGGAUGCAAGAUGCAACAGUUUGUCUUUCACAUUGGAAGGGACACCCCUGGAUGCCCCUAACCACUAGACCUGUAAAACUUCACUGCAGUGGCCACUUCUGAAUCUCUGUAAGGUUUAUUUAUCUUCACCCUCUGGAGAGAAGAUGUUUUACCAAAGCCUCUAGUGUACCUUCCUCCUCUUACUCAUCCAUCCCAGUCAACAUGAUGUUGUCAAUGAAAUAAAGGAAUUUAAUAUUC